Molecule: ribosomal RNA, 433 nt
Filed under: uncultured bacterium
Lineage: Bacteria
Description: bacterial SSU rRNA
Rfam family: Bacterial small subunit ribosomal RNA
Source: RNAcentral
AACGCGAAGAACCUUACCAGGUCUUGACAUCCUUUGACCACUCUAGAGAUAGAGCUUUCCCUUCGGGGACAAAGUGACAGGUGGUGCAUGGUUGUCGUCAGCUCGUGACGUGAGAUGUUGGGUUAAGUCCCGCAACGAGCGCAACCCCUAUUAUUAGUUGCCAGCAUUCAGUUGGGCACUCUAGUGAGACUGCCGGUGAUAAACCGGAGGAAGGUGGGGAUGACGUCAAAUCAUCAUGCACCUUAUGACCUGGGCUACACACGUGCUACAAUGGAUGGUACAACGAGUCGCAAGGUCGCGAGGCCAAGCUAAUCUCUUAAAGCCAUUCUCAGUUCGGAUUGCAGGCUGCAACUCGCCUGCAUGAAGCCGGAAUCGCUAGUAAUCGCGGAUCAGCACGCCGCGGUGAAUACGUUCCCGGGUCUUGUACACACGC